This 569-nucleotide small RNA is filed under the name Pongo abelii (Sumatran orangutan). RNAcentral describes it as "processed transcript". The record is from RNAcentral. Lineage: Eukaryota; Metazoa; Chordata; Mammalia; Primates; Hominidae.
ACUUGAGUGGUGGCUUCUGGAUAGAAUGGGAAGGGAAAGCUUUAGCUGCCAGCACCAGGCCACUCUGGCUCUGCCCUAAUUAGGGGGGGCCCUAAAUAGAUGAAUGGACAGGCAGUUUCAGAGGAAGGGGCAAGUGUGCUUGUUCACUGUUCUGAUGGCUGGGACAGGACCGCUCAGGUGUGCUCGGUGGCAAGCCUGCUGCUGGACCCUCACUACCGGACUCUGAAGGGCUUCAUGGUAUUAAUUGAAAAGGACUGGAUUUCCUUUGGUCAUAAGUUUAAUCACCGAUAUGGCAAUCUAGAUGGUGACCCAAAAGAAAUCUCUCCAGUUAUUGACCAGUUCAUUGAGUGUGUCUGGCAGUUAAUGGAGCAAUUUCCCUGUGCCUUUGAGUUCAAUGAGAGGUUUUUGAUUCACAUUCAACAUCACAUUUAUUCUUGCCAGUUUGGAAACUUCCUAUGUAACAGCCAAAAGGAGAGACAUGAACUCAAGAUUCAAGAAAGAACAUACUCAUUAUGGGCUCACCUGUGGAAGAAUCGGGCCGACUACCUGAAUCCUCUGUUUAGAGCUGA